RNAcentral lists this ribosomal RNA (253 nucleotides) under uncultured bacterium. RNAcentral's name for it is "partial 16S ribosomal RNA". It matches the Rfam family "Bacterial small subunit ribosomal RNA", at positions 524 to 776 of the family's 1533-position model. The record is from RNAcentral.
GACGGAGGAUGCAAGCGUUAUCCGGAAUGAUUGGGCGUAAAGCGUCCGCAGGUGGCAGUUCAAGUCUGCUGUCAAAGACCGGGGCUUAACUUCGGAAAGGCAGUGGAAACUGAACAGCUAGAGUAUGGUAGGGGCAGAGGGAAUUCCUGGUGUAGCGGUGAAAUGCGUAGAGAUCAGGAAGAACAUCGGUGGCGAAGGCGCUCUGCUGGACCAUAACUGACACUGAGGAGCGAAAGCAUGGGGAGCGAACAGG